GAUGGCUCAGUCAGUAAGAGUGUGAGACUCUCAAUUUCAGGGUUGCGGGUGCGAGCCCCACAUUGGGUAAAAUA
Molecule: non-coding RNA, 74 nt
Organism: Podarcis lilfordi (Lilford's wall lizard)
Lineage: Eukaryota; Metazoa; Chordata; Lepidosauria; Squamata; Lacertidae
Source: the annotation of a GenBank genome assembly